This 433-nucleotide ribosomal RNA is filed under the name uncultured bacterium. RNAcentral's name for it is "partial 16S ribosomal RNA". It matches the Rfam family "Bacterial small subunit ribosomal RNA", at positions 29 to 507 of the family's 1533-position model. The record is from RNAcentral.
AACGAACGCUGGCGGCAGGCCUAACACAUGCAAGUCGAGCGAGGACUUCGGUUCUAGCGGCGGCCGAGUGAGUAACGCGGGGGAAUGUGCCCUUCUCUACGGAAUAGCCCUGGGAAACUGGGAGUAAUACCGUAUACGCCCUUCUGGGGAAAGAUUUAUCGGAGAAGGAUCAGCCCGCGUUGGAUUAGGUAGUUGGUGGGGUAAUGGCCUACCAAGCCGACGAUCCAUAGCUGGUGUGAGAGGAUGAGCAGCCACACUGGGACUGAGACACGGCCCAGACUACUACGGGAGGCAGCAGUGGGGAAUCUUAGACAAUGGGGGCAACCCUGAUCUAGCCAUGCCGGGUGAGUGAUGAAGGCCUUAGGGUUGUAAAGCUCUUUCAGCUGGGAAGAUAAUGACGGUACCAGCAGAAGAAGCCCCGGCUAACUCCGUG